This 381-nucleotide ribosomal RNA is filed under the name uncultured bacterium. RNAcentral describes it as "bacterial SSU rRNA". It matches the Rfam family "Bacterial small subunit ribosomal RNA", at positions 28 to 410 of the family's 1533-position model. The record is from RNAcentral.
GACGAACGCUGGCGGCGUGCUUAACACAUGCAAGUCGAGCGGUAAGGCCCUUUCGGGGGUACACGAGCGGCGAACGGGUGAGUAACACGUGGGUGACCUGCCCUCAGCUCUGGGAUAAGCCUGGGAAACCGGGUCUAAUACCGGAUAUGACUCCAUGACGCAUGUUGUGGGGUGGAAAGCCUUGUGCGGCUGAGGAUGGGCCCGCGGCCUAUCAGCUUGUUGGUGGGGNGAUGGCCUACCAAGGCGACGACGGGUAGCCGGCCUGAGAGGGCGACCGGCCACACUGGGACUGAGACACGGCCCAGACUCCUACGGGAGGCAGCAGUGGGGAAUCUUGCGCAAUGGGCGAAAGCCUGACGCAGCGACGCCGCGUGAGGGAUG